RNAcentral lists this unclassified non-coding RNA (358 nucleotides) under soil metagenome. RNAcentral describes it as "partial contains 5.8S ribosomal RNA, internal transcribed spacer 2, and large subunit ribosomal RNA". The stretch from base 1 to 120 matches the Rfam family "5.8S ribosomal RNA", at positions 35 to 154 of the family's 154-position model. The record is from RNAcentral.
GAUGAAGAACGCAGCGAAAUGCGAUAAGUAAUGUGAAUUGCAGAAUUCAGUGAAUCAUCGAAUCUUUGAACGCACAUUGCGCCCGUCAGUAUUCUGGCGGGCAUGCCUGUUCGAGCGUCAUUACGCCCCUCAAGUCCCCUGUGGACUUGGUGUUGGGGAUCGGCGAGGCUGGUUUUCCAGCACAGCCGUCCCUUAAAUUAAUUGGCGGUCUCGCCGUGGCCCUCCUCUGCGCAGUAGUAAAACACUCGCAACAGGAGCCCGGCGCGGUCCACUGCCGUAAAACCCCCCAACUUUUUAUAGUUGACCUCGAAUCAGGUAUGACUACCCGCUGAACUUAAGCAUAUCAAUAAGCGGAGGA